Molecule: ribosomal RNA, 253 nt
Filed under: uncultured bacterium
Lineage: Bacteria
Description: partial 16S ribosomal RNA
Rfam family: Archaeal small subunit ribosomal RNA
Source: RNAcentral
UACCAGCACCCCGAGUGGUCGGGCCGAUUAUUGGGCCUAAAGCAUCCGUAGCCGGUUCUGCAAGUCCCCCGUUAAAUCCAGCUGCUCAACAGAUGGGCCGCGGAGGAUACUACAGAGCUAGGAGGCAGGAGAGGCAAGCGGUACUCAGUGGGUAGGGGUAAAAUCCGUUGAUCCAUUGAAGACCACCAGUGGCGAAGGCGGCUUGCCAGAAUGCGCUCGACGGUGAGGGAUGAAAGCUGGGGGAGCAAACCGG